RNAcentral lists this ribosomal RNA (473 nucleotides) under uncultured soil bacterium. RNAcentral describes it as "bacterial SSU rRNA". It matches the Rfam family "Bacterial small subunit ribosomal RNA", at positions 26 to 529 of the family's 1533-position model. The record is from RNAcentral.
AGAACGAACGCUGGCGGCAUGCCUAAUACAUGCAAGUCGAACGAACUCUUCGGAGUUAGUGGCGCACGGGUGCGUAACGCGUGGGAAUCUGCCCCUUGGUUCGGAAUAACAGUUGGAAACGACUGCUAAUACCGGAUGAUGACGAAAGUCCAAAGAUUUAUCGCCAAGGGAUGAGCCCGCGUAGGAUUAGCUAGUUGGUGAGGUAAAGCUCACCAAGGCAACGAUCCUUAGCUGGUCUGAGAGGAUGAUCAGCCACACUGGGACUGAGACACGGCCCAGACUCCUACGGGAGGCAGCAGUAGGGAAUAUUGGACAAGUGGGACAAAGCCUAGGAAUCCAGCAAUGCCGCGUGAGUGAGUAGAAGGUCCGUUAAGGGUUGUAAAGUCUUACGUUUACCCGAGACUGAAUAAUGAACAGUAGUCGGAAGAACGUAACGCCCCGGUACUAACGUCCCGUAGCCGAGCCGAGCCGUA